This 449-nucleotide ribosomal RNA is filed under the name uncultured bacterium. RNAcentral describes it as "bacterial SSU rRNA". It matches the Rfam family "Bacterial small subunit ribosomal RNA", at positions 355 to 825 of the family's 1533-position model. The record is from RNAcentral.
UGGGGAAUAUUGGACAAUGGGCGCAAGCCUGAUCCAGCCAUGUCGCGUGCAGGAUGACGGUCCUAUGGAUUGUAAAAUUCUUUUCACCGGGGACGAUAAUGACGGUACCCGGAGAAGAAGCCCCGGCUAACUUCGUGCCAGCAGCCGCGGUAAUACGAAGGGGGCUAGCGUUGCUCGGAAUUACUGGGCGUAAAGGGAGCGUAGGCGGAUAGUUCAGUCAGAGGUGAAAGCCCAGGGCUCAACCUUGGAACUGCCUUUGAUACUGGCUAUCUUGAGUUUGGGAGAGGUAUGUGGAACUCCGAGUGUAGAGGUGAAAUUCGUAGAUAUUCGGAAGAACACCUGAGGCGAAGGCGGGUUGCUGGGCUGAUACUGACGCUCAGGGACGAAAGCGUGGGGAGCAAACAGGAUUAGAUACCCCCGUAGUCCCUGAGCGGGCUGGCAAGGCGCAU